RNAcentral lists this ribosomal RNA (60 nucleotides) under Candidatus Uhrbacteria bacterium. RNAcentral's name for it is "partial 23S ribosomal RNA". The record is from RNAcentral. Lineage: Bacteria; Candidatus Uhriibacteriota.
AGAGCAGCAAAAGGGCGUACGGUGGAUGCCUAGACACGAAAAGCCGAUGAAGGACGUAGC